This 760-nucleotide ribosomal RNA is filed under the name uncultured Bacteroidales bacterium. Its description in RNAcentral is "bacterial SSU rRNA". It matches the Rfam family "Bacterial small subunit ribosomal RNA", at positions 28 to 776 of the family's 1533-position model. The record is from RNAcentral. Lineage: Bacteria; Pseudomonadati; Bacteroidota; Bacteroidia; Bacteroidales.
GAUGAACGCUAGCUACAGGCUUAACACAUGCAAGUCGAGGGGCAGCAUUUUAGUUUGCUUGCAAACUAAAGAUGGCGACCGGCGCACGGGUGAGUAACACGUAUCCAACCUGCCGAUAACUCGGGGAUAGCCUUUCGAAAGAAAGAUUAAUAUCCGAUAGUAUAUUAAAACCGCAUGGUUUUACUAUUAAAGAAUUUCGGUUAUCGAUGGGGAUGCGUUCCAUUAGUUUGUUGGCGGGGUAACGGCCCACCAAGACUACGAUGGAUAGGGGUUCUGAGAGGAAGGUCCCCCACAUUGGAACUGAGACACGGUCCAAACUCCUACGGGAGGCAGCAGUGAGGAAUAUUGGUCAAUGGACGAGAGUCUGAACCAGCCAAGUAGCGUGAAGGAUGACUGCCCUAUGGGUUGUAAACUUCUUUUAUAUGGGAAUAAAGUAUUCCACGUGUGGGAUUUUGUAUGUACCAUAUGAAUAAGGAUCGGCUAACUCCGUGCCAGCAGCCGCGGUAAUACGGAGGAUCCGAGCGUUAUCCGGAUUUAUUGGGUUUAAAGGGAGCGUAGGUGGAUUGUUAAGUCAGUUGUGAAAGUUUGCGGCUCAACCGUAAAAUUGCAGUUGAAACUGGCAGUCUUGAGUACAGUAGAGGUGGGCGGAAUUCGUGGUGUAGCGGUGAAAUGCUUAGAUAUCACGCAGAACCCCGAUUGCGAAGGCAGCCUGCUAGGGUGCGACAGACGCUGAGGCACGAAAGCGUGGGUAUCGAACAGG